GACGAACGCUGGCGGCGUGCUUAACACAUGCAAGUCGAACGGAAAGGCCCCUUUGGGGGUACUCGAGUGGCGAACGGGUGAGUAACACGUGAGUAACCUGCCCUUGACUUCGGGAUAACUUCAGGAAACUGGGGCUAAUACCGGAUAGGAAUCCUUGCUGCAUGGUGGGGGUUGGAAAGCUUCGGCGGUUUUGGAUGGACUCGCGGCUUAUCAGCUUGUUGGGGGGGUAGUGGCUUACCAAGGCUUUGACGGGUAGCCGGCCUGAGAGGGCGACCGGCCACAUUGGGACUGAGAUACGGCCCAGACUCCUACGGGAGGCAGCAGUGGGGAAUAUUGCACAAUGGGCGGAAGCCUGAUGCAGCAACGCCGCGGGCGGGAGGACGGCCUUCGGGUUGUAAACCGCUUUCAGCAGGGGCGAAGCUUGUGGUGACGGUACCUGCAGAAGAAGCACCGGCUAACUACGUG
RNAcentral lists this ribosomal RNA (465 nucleotides) under uncultured bacterium. Its description in RNAcentral is "partial 16S ribosomal RNA". It matches the Rfam family "Bacterial small subunit ribosomal RNA", at positions 28 to 507 of the family's 1533-position model. The record is from RNAcentral.